RNAcentral lists this ribosomal RNA (253 nucleotides) under uncultured bacterium. RNAcentral's name for it is "partial 16S ribosomal RNA". It matches the Rfam family "Bacterial small subunit ribosomal RNA", at positions 524 to 776 of the family's 1533-position model. The record is from RNAcentral.
UACGGAGGGUGCGAGCGUUGUCCGGAAUCACUGGGCGUAAAGGGCGCGUAGGUGGCCCCUUAAGUGUGUGGUGAAAGCCCGGGGCUCAACCCCGGGUCGGCCAUGCAAACUGGGGGGCUUGAGCAUUGUAGAGGCAGGCGGAAUUCCGGGUGUAGCGGUGGAAUGCGUAGAGAUCCGGAAGAACACCGGUGGCGAAGGCGGCCUGCUGGGCAAUUGCUGACACUGAGGCGCGACAGCGUGGGGAGCAAACAGG